Molecule: ribosomal RNA, 435 nt
Filed under: uncultured bacterium
Lineage: Bacteria
Description: partial 16S ribosomal RNA
Rfam family: Bacterial small subunit ribosomal RNA
Source: RNAcentral
AGCGAACGCUGGCGGCAGGCUUAACACAUGCAAGUCGAGCGGGCACUUUCGGGUGUCAGCGGCGGACGGGUGAGUAACGCGUGGGAACGUGCCCUCUGGUUCGGAAUAACUCAGGGAAACUUGAGCUAAUACCGGAUACGCCCUUUUGGGGAAAGGCUUGCUGCCGGAGGAUCGGCCCGCGUCUGAUUAGCUAGUUGGUGAGGUAACGGCUCACCAAGGCGACGAUCAGUAGCUGGUCUGAGAGGAUGAUCAGCCACACUGGGACUGAGACACGGCCCAGACUCCUACGGGAGGCAGCAGUGGGGAAUAUUGGACAAUGGGCGCAAGCCUGAUCCAGCCAUGCCGCGUGAGUGAUGAGGGCCUUAGGGUUGUAAAGCUCUUUUAUCCGGGACGAUAAUGACGGUACCGGAGGAAUAAGCCCCGGCUAACUUCGUG